Molecule: non-coding RNA, 45 nt
Organism: Schistosoma mansoni
Lineage: Eukaryota; Metazoa; Platyhelminthes; Trematoda; Strigeidida; Schistosomatidae
Source: Rfam
AUCCACCUGACGAGUCCCAAACAGGACGAAACGCUCGUUCUGGAU